GAUUAAGUGUCGUAAGGGCAUUUGGUGGAUGCCUUGGCAUGCACAGGCGAUGAAGGACGUGAUACGCUGCGAAAAGCCGUGGGGAGCUGCGAAUAAGCUUUGAUCCAUGGAUCUCCGAAUGGGGCAACCCACCUUAAAUGCUUAGAAAAUC
Molecule: ribosomal RNA, 151 nt
Filed under: Rhizobium altiplani
Lineage: Bacteria; Pseudomonadati; Pseudomonadota; Alphaproteobacteria; Hyphomicrobiales; Rhizobiaceae
Description: partial 23S ribosomal RNA
Rfam family: Bacterial large subunit ribosomal RNA
Source: RNAcentral